CAGGCCCUAUGUGACCAUGUGGAAAUGCGCAAAUGAAACAAUGAAGGACAUCUCUGAUUCAUCAGGCAGGUUGGUGUCCAGAGGCUUCCUCUGACUUCCUGUGGCAUUUCCCUCCUGAAAGUGAGGCCACCAUCCACACAAGAUCUGCCUGAGCCCACCUGUAGGACCCUCCCUGACUCUCCUUCCCUCCAUGGUCUCCACACUUGCUAUCAUCACCCCAUCAUUAGAAUCCUGUUGCCCCCUGGUGUGUGGCUUGUUCUUGCAAUAAAAGUUGUUAGCAGGG
Molecule: non-coding RNA, 283 nt
Organism: Peromyscus maniculatus bairdii (prairie deer mouse)
Lineage: Eukaryota; Metazoa; Chordata; Mammalia; Rodentia; Cricetidae
Source: RefSeq, a predicted model, not a curated record